Molecule: long non-coding RNA, 1484 nt
Filed under: Parus major (Great Tit)
Lineage: Eukaryota; Metazoa; Chordata; Aves; Passeriformes; Paridae
Description: lncRNA (ENSPMJG00000013084.1)
Source: RNAcentral
CCCGCAGUGUUGGGGUGCCCGCAGGGUUUUGGGUGCCCGCAGUGUUUUGAGUACCCGCAGGGUUUUGGGGUGCCAGCAGGGUUUUGGGGUGCAGCAGUGUUUUGGGGUGCCCGCAGGGUUUUGGGCUGCCAGCAGAGUUUUGGGGUGCCAGCAGAGUUUUGGGGUGCCCGCAGGGUUUUGGGGUGCCCGCUGCUGAGGCUGCCGUGCAGGAUCCCGGCAGGAUGCCGCUGCUCCCCGUCGUGGCGCUCUGGGCUCUGUGCUCCCUCCUCGGCCGGGCAGACCAUCCUCCUGUCCCCGUCACGGUGACAGCGGCCAUCGGCGAGGACGCCUGCCUGCCCUGCGGCAGCCAGCCCUGGGGUGCCCUGCGCGGGGUCACCCUCAGCUGCACCCACCAGGCCGGCGACCACCGCGCUGUCCCCGUGCUCAGCCACCGCCUGGGCUGGCAGCCGCCCCCCGAGCCGGGCUGGCAGCCCCCCGAGCAGCCCGACAGCCGCUUUAGGGGCAGGGUCGCCUUCUGCGCGGCGGGGACGGGGGAGGCCGGCGUGUCCCUGCUGCUGAGGAACCUCAGCGAUCCCGAUUUUGGGAAUUAUUCCUGCUACGCCUCCCGCGCCGAGGCCCCGCAGCUCCUCCUCUGCUCCCUGGUGCUGCAGCCCGCAGGGGAGGGUGAGUGGGGCGGGGGGUGACACUGUCGUUUUUGGGGUCCCUCUCAUUCCCUGCUGGGUCCAGUCCUGUCCUCAUCUGGGUGGUGCCAGAAUUUGGGGUGUCCCCACUUGGGUGGUGCCAGAAUUUGGGGUGUCCUCAGUUCCCUGAUGUGUCCAGCCCUGUCCUCAUCUGGGUAGUGACGGAAUUUGGGGUGUCCCCAGUUCCCUGAUGUGUCCAUCCCUGUUCCCGUCUGGGUAGUGCUGGAAUUUGGGGUGUCCCCAGUUCCCUGCCGUGCCUGUCACUUCCUGUGUCCCCUGGUCCACCCCUGUCCUCAUAUGGAUGGUGACAGAAUUUGGGGGUCCCCCCAAUUCCCUGAUGCAUCUGUCACCUCCUCCGGUUCUGUCCCCAUCUGGGUGGCGCCAGAAUUUUGGGGUGUCCGCAAUUCCCUGCCCUGCCUGUCCGUCUGUCCCUGCCGUGCCUGUCCGUCUGUCCCUGCCGUGUUUGUCCCUCUGUCCCUGCCGUAUCUGUCCCUUGUCCUUGCCGUGUCCGUCUGUCCCUGACGUGCCUGUCCGUCUGUCCCUGCCAUGUCUGUCCGUCUGUCCCUGCCGUGUCCGUCUGUCCCUGCUGUGCCUGUCCGUCUGUCCCUGACAUGUCCCUCUGUCCCUGCCGUGUUUGUCCCUUGUCCCUGCCGUGUCCGUCCCUUGUCCCUGCCGUGUCUAUCCGUCUGUCCCUGCCCUGCCUGUCCCUCUGUUCCUGCCCUGUAUGUCCGUCUGUUCCUGUCUGUCCGUCUAUCCCUGUCGUGUCCCUCUGUCCCUGCCGUGUCCGUCUGUCCCUGCCGUGUC